ACUGCUCAGUAACACGUGGAUAACCUGCCCUAAGGAAGGGGAUAACCCCGGGAAACUGGGGAUAAUACCCUAUAGGUUAUAGAUGCUGGAAUGCUCUGUAACUCAAAGUUCCGGCGCCUUAGGAUGGAUCUGCGGCCGAUUAGGUUGUUGUUGGGGUAAUGGCCCAACAAGCCUGUAAUCGGUACGGGUUGUGGGAGCAAGAGCCCGGAGUUGGAUUCUGAGACACGAAUCCAGGCCCUACGGGGCGCAGCAGGCGCGAAAACUUUACAAUGCGGGCAACCGUGAUAAGGGAACCUCGAGUGCCUGUAUAUGCAGGCUGUCUAGGUGUCUAAAACACACCUGAAGAAAGGGCCGGGCAAGACCGGUGCCAGCCGCCGCGGUAAUACCGGCGGCUCGAGUGGUGGCCACUUUUAUUGGGCUUAAAGCGUUCGUAGCUGGGUUGUUAAGUCUCUUGGGAAAUCUGGCGGCUUAACCGUCAGGCGUCUAAGGGAUACUGGCAAUCUUGGAACCGGGAGAGGUGAGGGGUACUUCGGGGGUAGGAGUGAAAUCCUGUAAUCCUCGAGGGACCACCUGUGGCGAAGGCGCCUCACCAGAACGGCUUCGACAGUGAGGGACGAAAGCUGGGGGAGCAAACCGGAUUAGAUACCCGGGUAGUCCCAGCCGUAAACGAUGUGCGUUAGGUGUAUCGACGACCACGAGUCGUCGAGGUGCCGAAGGGAAACCGUGAAACGUACCGCCUGGGAAGUACGGUCGCAAGGCUGAAACUUAAAGGAAUUGGCGGGGGAG
Molecule: ribosomal RNA, 786 nt
Filed under: uncultured archaeon
Lineage: Archaea
Description: bacterial SSU rRNA
Rfam family: Archaeal small subunit ribosomal RNA
Source: RNAcentral